GAUCGCGGUGAUGACCUCAUAAAAUUCAAGCUCAACAGACCGGAAUGCAGGCUUCUCUUUUUGAGAAUUUUGCGUGUCGAUAACCCUGCUGAACCGAGUGAUA
This is a small nucleolar RNA of Hibiscus syriacus, 103 nucleotides long. RefSeq annotates it as small nucleolar RNA Z107/R87. Lineage: Eukaryota; Viridiplantae; Streptophyta; Magnoliopsida; Malvales; Malvaceae. The transcript has a single exon. The record is from RefSeq and is a predicted model, not a curated record.